GAUCAUCCCAGUAUCGCACACGUAUACAAUGCCGGGACGACCGAAGCCGGCCGCCCCUAUUUUGCGAUGGAGUUCGUCUCCGGCGUGCCGAUCACCGAGCACUGUGACCGGCACAAACUCACGAUUGAGGAACGGCUGGAGCUGUUCCUUCAGGU
This 155-nucleotide ribosomal RNA is filed under the name uncultured eukaryote. RNAcentral describes it as "partial small subunit ribosomal RNA". The record is from RNAcentral.